GACGUAGGGCGCGAGCGUUGUCCGGAUUUAUUGGGCGUAAAGAGCUCGUAGGCGGCUUGUCGCGUCGUCCGUGAAAACCCGCAGCUUAACUGCGGGCUUGCGGUUGAUACGGGCGGGCUAGAGUUCGGUAGGGGAGACUGGAAUUCCUGGUGUAGCGGUGAAAUGCGUAGAUAUCCGGAAGAACACCGGUGGCGAAGGCGGUGGUCUGGACCAAAACUGACGCUGAGGAGCGAAAGCCAGGGGAGCAAACGGG
RNAcentral lists this ribosomal RNA (253 nucleotides) under uncultured bacterium. RNAcentral's name for it is "partial 16S ribosomal RNA". It matches the Rfam family "Bacterial small subunit ribosomal RNA", at positions 524 to 776 of the family's 1533-position model. The record is from RNAcentral.